UACGUAGGGGGCUAGCGUUGUCCGGAAUCAUUGGGCGUAAAGCGCGUGUAGGCGGUCCGGUAAGUCCGCUGUGAAAGUCGGGGGCUCAACCCUCGGAUGCCGGUGGAUACUGUCGGGCUUGAGUACGGAAGAGGCGAGUGGAAUUCCUGGUGUAGCGGUGAAAUGCCCAGAUAUCAGGAGGAACACCAAUUGCGAAGGCAGCUCGCUGGGACGUUACUGACGCUGAGACGCGAAAGCGUGGGGAGCAAACAGG
This 253-nucleotide ribosomal RNA is filed under the name uncultured bacterium. Its description in RNAcentral is "partial 16S ribosomal RNA". It matches the Rfam family "Bacterial small subunit ribosomal RNA", at positions 524 to 776 of the family's 1533-position model. The record is from RNAcentral.